AAGCGAUUGCCUUAGUAGCGGCGAGCGAAACGGCAGAAGGGCAAACCGAAGAGUUUACUCUUCGGGGUUGUAGGACUGCAAUGUGGACUCAAAGAUUAUAGAAGAAUGAUUUGGGAAGAUCAGCCAAAGAGAGUAAUAGCCUCGUAUUUAAAAUAGUCUUUGUACCUAGCAGUAUCCUGAGUACGGCGGGACACGUGAAAUCCCGUCGGAAUCUGGGAGGACCAUCUCCCAACCCUAAAUACUCCCUAGUGACCGAUAGUGAACCAGUACCGUGAGGGAAAGGUGAAAAGCACCCCGGGAGGGGAGUGAAAUAGAACCUGAAACCGUGUGCCUACAACAAGUUCGAGCCCGUUAAUGGGUGAGAGCGUGCCUUUUGUAGAAUGAACCGGCGAGUUACGUUAUGAUGCGAGGUUAAGUUGAAGAGACGGAGCCGUAGGGAAACCGAGUCUGAAUAGGGCGCCUUAGUAUCAUGACGUAGACCCGAAACCAUGUGACCUACCCAUGAGCAGGUUGAAGGUGCGGUAAGACGCACUGGAGGACCGAACCAGGGCACGUUGAAAAGUGCUUGGAUGACUUGUGGGUAGCGGAGAAAUUCCAAACGAACUUGGAGAUAGCUGGUUCUCUCCGAAAUAGCUUUAGGGCUAGCGUCGACAUUAGAGAUUCUUGGAGGUAGAGCACUGUUUGGGUGAGGGGUCCAUCCCGGAUUACCAAUCUCAGAUAAACUCCGAAUGCCAAUGAAUUAUGGUCGGCAGUCAGACUGCGAGUGCUAAGAUCCGUAGUCGAAAGGGAAACAGCCCAGACCACCAGCUAAGGUCCCAAAAUAAUUGUUAAGUGGAAAAGGAUGUGGGGUUGCACAGACAACUAGGAUGUUAGCUUAGAAGCAGCUAUUCAUUCAAAGAGUGCGUAAUAGCUCACUAGUCGAGUGACCCUGCGCCGAAAAUGUACCGGGGCUAAAACAAUUUACCGAAGCUGUGGAUACCUUUAUAGGUAUGGUAGGAGAGCGUUCUAUGUGUGAUGAAGGUAUACCGUGAGGAGUGCUGGAACGCAUAGAAGUGAGAAUGCCGGUAUGAGUAGCGAAAGACAGGUGAGAAUCCUGUCCACCGUAAGACUAAGGUUUCCAGGGGAAGGCUCGUCCGCCCUGGGUUAGUCGGGACCUAAGGAGAGACCGAAAGGUGUAUCCGAUGGACAACAGGUUGAUAUUCCUGUACUAGAGUAUGUAGUGAUGGAGGGACGCAGUAGGCUAACUAAAGCAGACGAUUGGAAGAGUCUGUCUAAGCAGUGAGGUGUGAAUUGAGUCAAAUGCUUAAUUCUAUAACAUUGAGCUGUGAUGGGGAGCGAAGUUUAGUAGCGAAGUUAGUGACGUCACACUGCCAAGAAAAGCUUCUAGCGUUUAAACAUACUCUACCCGUACCGCAAACCGACACAGGUAGUCGAGGCGAGUAGCCUCAGGUGAGCGAGAGAACUCUCGUUAAGGAACUCGGCAAAAUGACCCCGUAACUUCGGGAGAAGGGGUGCUGACUUAAAGUCAGCCGCAGUGAAUAGGCCCAAGCAACUGUUUAUCAAAAACACAGCUCUCUGCUAAAUCGUAAGAUGAUGUAUAGGGGGUGACGCCUGCCCGGUGCUGGAAGGUUAAGAGGAGUGCUUAGCGUAAGCGAAGGUAUGAAUUGAAGCCCCAGUAAACGGCGGCCGUAACUAUAACGGUCCUAAGGUAGCGAAAUUCCUUGUCGGGUAAGUUCCGACCCGCACGAAAGGCGUAAUGAUUUGGGCACUGUCUCAACGAGAGACUCGGUGAAAUUUUAGUACCUGUGAAGAUGCAGGUUACCCGCGACAGGACGGAAAGACCCCAUGGAGCUUUACUGCAGUUUGAUAUUGAGUGUCUGUACCACAUGUACAGGAUAGGUAGGAGUCUAAGAGAUCGGGACGCCAGUUUCGAAGGAGACGCUGUUGGGAUACUACCCUUGUGUUAUGGCCACUCUAACCCAGAUAGGUGAUCCCUAUCGGAGACAGUGUCUGACGGGCAGUUUGACUGGGGCGGUCGCCUCCUAAAAGGUAACGGAGGCGCCCAAAGGUUCCCUCAGAAUGGUUGGAAAUCAUUCGCAGAGUGUAAAGGUAUAAGGGAGCUUGACUGCGAGAGCUACAACUCGAGCAGGGACGAAAGUCGGGCUUAGUGAUCCGGUGGUUCCGUAUGGAAGGGCCAUCGCUCAACGGAUAAAAGCUACCCUGGGGAUAACAGGCUUAUCUCCCCCAAGAGUUCACAUCGACGGGGAGGUUUGGCACCUCGAUGUCGGCUCGUCGCAUCCUGGGGCUGUAGUCGGUCCCAAGGGUUGGGCUGUUCGCCCAUUAAAGCGGCACGCGAGCUGGGUUCAGAACGUCGUGAGACAGUUCGGUCCCUAUCCGUCGCGGGCGUAGGAAAUUUGAGAGGAUCUGCUCCUAGUACGAGAGGACCAGAGUGGACUUACCGCUGGUGUACCAGUUGUCUUGCCAAAGGCAUCGCUGGGUAGCUAUGUAGGGAAGGGAUAAACGCUGAAAGCAUCUAAGUGUGAAACCCACCUCAAGAUGAGAUUUCCCAUGAUUAUAUAUCAGUAAGAGCCCUGAGAGAUGAUCAGGUAGAUAGGUUAGAAGUGGAAGUGUGGCGACACAUGUAGCGGACUAAUACUAAUAGCUCGAGGACUUAUCCAAA
RNAcentral lists this ribosomal RNA (2680 nucleotides) under Streptococcus pneumoniae. RNAcentral describes it as "bacterial LSU rRNA". It matches the Rfam family "Bacterial large subunit ribosomal RNA". The record is from RNAcentral. Lineage: Bacteria; Bacillati; Bacillota; Bacilli; Lactobacillales; Streptococcaceae.